CCAACUUACUGUGCAUUCUGCAAGAUUUGUGCUUAUCAAAUUAAUACAAUGAAUUAACAAACAACUGCGUCUGAAUAAUUUUUAAAAUUUUUUUAGUGACAUAUGUGUUGCUAGAUGUUGGUCUAAUAAAAGGAAAUCCACUCGGUGAGCUUUUGAACUUGAUAACACCAUAUCAAGAUACUAAAUUGAAUGGAUGAUUUUCAGUUUUUUGCAUGGAUGGUUGUGCUACAUUUUACUGAUGAGAUGUAUUCAAAGAAAUCGUAAAAUAUGAGGUGAGGAAGCUCUUGAUUUUACUAACGAGGAAAAAAGGAGAAAGUGAGGAAAUUGAUAAUAUUUUACAUGCAUUGGUUGAUAAUUCUGAUUUACUUUUGUAGUGUGCGUUUGAUAGCUUUAUUAUAGAGUGAUAGAAGCAUUGCAGCCAUUGGAACCUCAACAGAGAGAUAGAGCUUGUAUAAGGCUGAAGAAGGACAAUGUUGCACUUGUUGUUAUAUUAGAAAAACUGGAAAGUGAGACCACUUGCGAUGGAAUUUAACCUAGAAUUUGUGUGGCAAAUACGCACAUAUCUGCAAAUCCAAAGUUCCCAGAUGUAAAAUUGUUCCAGAUGCAGUUUAAAAUUCAAUAGCUC
Molecule: long non-coding RNA, 625 nt
Organism: Rosa chinensis
Lineage: Eukaryota; Viridiplantae; Streptophyta; Magnoliopsida; Rosales; Rosaceae
Exons: 3
Source: RefSeq, a predicted model, not a curated record